Carassius auratus (goldfish) is the source of this 1233-nucleotide long non-coding RNA. RefSeq lists it as uncharacterized. NCBI's taxonomy places the organism in Eukaryota, Metazoa, Chordata, Actinopteri, Cypriniformes, Cyprinidae. The record is from RefSeq and is a predicted model, not a curated record. The transcript has 4 exons.
UAUGUGCUCAUUUAUGGGUAAACAUAUAUUUGUCUUUUUUUCUAGAGCAUAACUGGACACUUUGUCAGUAGUGUUGAGAAUCAGGCAACAGUGAGCUGUUCUUUAGAGAGUAACAGAUUUAUUUUAUGUUACCGGCUGUGUGAUGGAGGAGUUCCUCUGAAGGUUAUUUUAUGGUCAUUUGAGUUUUGUUAAUUAAAUCCCUUUAAUCCAGGAGUUUUAUUAUUGUUGUGUAUCAAACUCAUUGUCCUCAUUGUCAAACUGUUUUGCCCCAUCAAAUACCUGUCUCACUCAGAGGCAGACUCCCUGCCCCAGAUAGCCUCGCCAUGGGGUCGAUGUGGGCGUGGCUGUAAUCAGCCAAUCAGAGACUGUUGCUAACACGUCACGCCUCCAGCUUCCAGAUCUUCUCCAAUGUUUGGGUUCCACCCGGUGAGGGUGUCAUCUCCCAAAUGAUUCCUCAGAUCCCCACUCACAUAUGUGUGUCUGCUCAUGUUUAUGAUUCACACGAGUGAGCUCAUUUUGUUCAGUUUUGUCUGGUUCUGUGGACCACACUUUUUAAAAGGUUAUUUUAAAUAGUUUCUUUAUCAAUUUCAAAUCUUACUUUCCAUCAGAGACUGUGAUGCUGUCGGCUGAAGUAAAAACAGACACAGAAAUGUUGCCAGCAUGUGAGUGUGAGAAUAUUUUGGGGUUCAGGACUAAUGGAUGUAAUUUGUUUGUUCAGGCGGCCAUGUGGAGCUGGAUGAAAAGUCAGCGUAUCUGCACAUGUUGUCCAGAGGACUGCCUAAGAGACAUCACAUCGUGACGUACAUACUACCGAAGAGCUCUCAAUCACACCUGCAGCUUCAGACUUGUUUGCACCCUGAUCCUGCUGAAGACAGUGUGUGUGUGUGGGUUGAUGCAAGUCUGCUGUAGACGUGUGACGGAGGUCUCUUGGUGAGGACAUUGAACGAAUCAGCACUGGAACCAAAUUUGCCUUAGAACUGUGGUUGAAAACACAGGAGCCUCAUGCUGAGAUGGGCUGAUGACUUCUCUCUGCCUGCUUCUGUUUAUGUAUAUGUUACCAUUUAACCAUUGCCUUGAGGAAGACUGCACCACCUACUGGACUGGAGCUAUUUCAGCCCAGCACUUUGUUCUGGCACAACAUUGAAAUCAAAAUGUUGUCAAAAAAGCCAUAGAAUAAGAGCUGGCAAAUUAAAGUUAAUCUAAUGCGGUGAUUUAUAAUUUAACCUACUUUCU